Molecule: ribosomal RNA, 466 nt
Filed under: uncultured bacterium
Lineage: Bacteria
Description: partial 16S ribosomal RNA
Rfam family: Bacterial small subunit ribosomal RNA
Source: RNAcentral
GAUGAACGCUGGCGGCGCGCCUAACACAUGCAAGUCGAACGAUUAAAGCACCUUCGGGUGUGUAUAAAGUGGCGAACGGCUGAGUAACACGUGGGCAACCUGCCCCUUUCAUUGGGAUAGCCACGGGAAACCGUGGAUAAUACCGAAUACUUCGAGACUUCCGCAUGGAAGACUCGAGAAAGCUCCGGCGGAGAGGGAUGGGCCCGCGGCCUGUUAGCUUGUUGGUGGGGUAACGGCCUACCAAGGCAAUGAUGGGUAGCUGGGUUGAGAGACCGACCAGCCAGAUUGGGACUGAGACACGGCCCAGACUCCUACGGGAGGCAGCAGUGGGGAAUCUUGCACAAUGGGCGAAAGCCUGAUGCAGCGACGCCGCGUGCGGGAUGAAGGCCUUCGGGUUGUAAACCGCUUCCAGCAGGGACGAGGCGAAAGUGACGGUACCUGCAGAAGAAGCCCCGGCUAACUACGU